GGGGAUGUAGCUCAGCGGGAGAGCGCGUGGUUUGCAUCCAUGAGGCCAGGGGUUCAAAUCCCCUCAUCUCCACCA
RNAcentral lists this transfer RNA (75 nucleotides) under Caldisericum sp. CG2_30_36_11. Its description in RNAcentral is "tRNA-Ala". It matches the Rfam family "tRNA". From Rfam's summary of the family: Transfer RNA (tRNA) molecules are approximately 80 nucleotides in length. Lineage: Bacteria; Pseudomonadati; Caldisericota; Caldisericia; Caldisericales; Caldisericaceae. RNAcentral also lists the same sequence under 4 other names. The record is from RNAcentral.